RNAcentral lists this ribosomal RNA (441 nucleotides) under uncultured Prevotellaceae bacterium. RNAcentral's name for it is "bacterial SSU rRNA". It matches the Rfam family "Bacterial small subunit ribosomal RNA", at positions 355 to 792 of the family's 1533-position model. Lineage: Bacteria; Pseudomonadati; Bacteroidota; Bacteroidia; Bacteroidales; Prevotellaceae. The record is from RNAcentral.
UGAGGAAUAUUGGUCAAUGGUCGCGAGACUGAACCAGCCAAGUAGCGUGCAGGAUGACGGCCCUCUGGGUUGUAAACUGCUUUUAGUUGGGAAUAAAAGGCGGUACGUGUACCGCGUAUUGUAUGUACCAUCAGAAAAAGGACCGGCUAAUUCCGUGCCAGCAGCCGCGGUAAUACGGAAGGUCCAGGCGUUAUCCGGAUUUAUUGGGUUUAAAGGGAGCGUAGGCGGAUUUUUAAGUCAGUUGUGAAAGUUUGAGGCUCAACCUUGGCACUGCAGCGCGAACUGGGGGCUUGAGUGCGCGCAGCGCAGGCGGAACUCGUGGUGUAGCGGUGAAAUGCUUAGAUAUCACGAAGAACUCCGAUCGCGAAGGCAGCCUGCGGGAGCGCAACUGACGCUGAGGCUCGAAAGUGCGGGUAUCGAACAGGAUUAGAUACCCUGGUA